UAGGGAAUCUUCGGCAAUGGGGGGAACCCUGACCGAGCAACGCCGCGUGAGUGAAGAAGGUUUUCGGAUCGUAAAGCUCUGUUGUUAAGGAAGAACGAGUGUGAGAAUGGAAAGUUCAUACUGUGACGGUACUUAACCAGAAAGGGACGGCUAACUACGUGCCAGCAGCCGCGGUGAUACGUAGGUCCCGAGCGUUGUCCGGAUUUAUUGGGCGUAAAGCGAGCGCAGGCGGUUAGAUAAGUCUGAAGUUAAAGGCAGUGGCUCAACCAUUGUAGGCUUUGGAAACUGUUUAACUUGAGUGCAGAAGGGGAGAGUGGAAUUCCAUGUGUAGCGGUGAAAUGCGUAGAUAUAUGGAGGAACACCGGUGGCGAAAGCGGCUCUCUGGUCUGUAACUGACGCUGAGGCUCGAAAGCGUGGGGAGCGAACAGG
RNAcentral lists this ribosomal RNA (429 nucleotides) under Bacteroidota bacterium. RNAcentral's name for it is "Bacteroidetes bacterium partial 16S ribosomal RNA". It matches the Rfam family "Bacterial small subunit ribosomal RNA", at positions 355 to 776 of the family's 1533-position model. The record is from RNAcentral. Lineage: Bacteria; Pseudomonadati; Bacteroidota.